Bos taurus (domestic cattle) is the source of this 1049-nucleotide long non-coding RNA. NCBI's taxonomy places the organism in Eukaryota, Metazoa, Chordata, Mammalia, Artiodactyla, Bovidae. The record is from Ensembl.
GUGGACAUGAACUAUGGUGGCCAGGGGGCUUCCUGAAGGACGUUGUGCUGGGACGGUCUAGAGGGGGAGGGCAGUGAAACAUGAGGAACUUGAGAGGAGACAGAGAAUGGGGCUCUCGCCUGAGCCCUGCCGCUCCCUGGCCAGUAUGGCCUUGGACAAGUCCCUGGCCAAUAAAUCCUUGAUUUAUUCCACAAAUCAGGCUAAACAGUGGUCUGGGCAGUGAUUGUGGCUGGUGACGGAAUAUGAUCUUUCCCCACCCCAUUUAAGAACUGAACCCUCAAGUCCCCCUUGGCCCACACCCCCCAAACCCUGCACGUCUGGGGUUAGGAGUCCAGCUGCUGGCUGGAGGUCUGGAUGGCGUUAGUUAGAAACAUAAGCCUGGGUUCUGGACAGGCCUGGCUUUGAGUCCCAGAUCCACCACCUUCUCAGAUGAGUCACCUUGGACAUGACUCUACUUGUCCCUGUUCUCAGUGUCCUAAACCAGUGUUGAUCUGAAAAAGUAGUUGUGAGAAUGAAAAAAAAAAUAAUGAUGCCUGAUACUUACUGGAAAAUUCUGGUACCCAAAGUUCCAAGAGUAUGACUGAUUUUUUUUUUCAUUAAAUUUCCUAACCACCCUGUGAAGCUAUUAUUCUCAUUUACAGAUGUGGCAAUGGAAGAACAGAGUGGUGGUGAUCAUUGCCCAAGGUCACACCCUUGUUCUGCUUGGCUUAGUGUCUGUCCCACAGGAAAUGCCUCAGUUACAAUUGUAACUAGUUCUGACACAUGGGUCCCACACACGCAUCUCCCUGUCUCUGGAAUGAGGAUGUGUCUGACAACUGAUGUCCAAGGAGCAUGUCAGCCAGCAGGCGGAGGGGGAGUUAGGUGUCCUCACUGUCUCUGGCCAGUCCCUCAGAUGGCUGAGAUCAAGCCUGAUGGAAUUUUAUCAGAUUGAAUCCCUAAUUAUCCCUUACAGUGGCUUCUAAAAUGAUGCCACAUGGAAAUAGAAGGUUAUUGAGUGUUCAGAAGCCUACCAUCACCCAGACAAAACAAAACUUGCCAAAUUCAUCCAA